UGUGGCUUCUAGACGAAGAGAGAGGGCUUUAGCUAAGAUCUUUGCAUCGCAGUUGAGGAGAGAGAUGGGUUGGUACGAGCUACAGUCUUUACCUGGUUUGAGCAGAAGGGUAAUUGAUGCUUCGGUUAAUGUCUGGGGUAGUGAGCCACAGGAUAGGGUCAUUAAGCAUAUCAAGUAGUAUUGGGGAUAGUUUGUUUGAGAAUUUUUUAUAAAACUCUAUAGGGUACCCGUCUGGGCCUGGAGCCUUUCCAUUUUGCAUUGAGUGUAUUGCAUUAGUGAUUUCUUUAUGGUCCAGUGGAAGCUCAGCAUUGGUCCUGUGUAUUUCUGUUACUAAGGGGGAUUCUAAGUUAUUUAAAAACAUUUUCAUUUCCGAGCAAUCUUCUGUCAUUUCUGACAUAUACAGGUCGGAGUAAAAGGAAGUAAAUACUUUGUUGAUUUCUGCUGGGUCAAUAGUCAGUGUGCCAUCUUUUUUUGUUAUUUGGGGGAUAAGUUGAGCAGCUGAACGACACUUCAGUUGGUGUGCUAAGAAACGUCCAGCUUUGUCGCCAUGUUCAUAGAGGUAUCCCCGUGAUUUUAACAGGAGCUGUUCUGUUUUUUCAGUUGCUAUCAAAUUAUAUUUUGUUUGGAGGUCUAGUCUCUUUUUAUAGAAUUCAGGGGAGGGAGAAGCACAAUACUGAGCAUCCACUUUAGAUAUAGAUGUAAUAAGCUCUUCUUGUGUGGUCCUUUUCAUUUUGUUUAUUUUAGCUGAAUAUGAAAUAAUCUCACCUCUGAUAACAGCCUUUAAUGUUUCCCAGAGGAUAGAAGGGGAGAUGUCAUCUUUUUGGUUAGUUUCUAUGAAGUAUUCUUUGGGAUAUAAUUUUGCAAAAAAUAUCUUCAGCCAAGAAGUUUCUGUCAAAAUUCCGGGGGGGGCGUUCCAAUUUAUAGUAAGGAAACACAAGAUCCAGUAGUACAGGGGCGUGGUCAGAUUCAAUUAUAGAUGAGUAUUCAACUUCUGAAACAAAUUAGAAAAGAUUCUGGUCAACGUAAAAAUAGUCUAUUCGACUAUAUGAAUGAUGUACAAGGGAAAAAAAAGAAUAUGAUUUACUUUGUGGAUACAAAACACGGUCAACACAUCCUAUCUCGUUCAUAAAAUUUGAUAGGAGUUUGGCUUUUUUGGAAAUGUUUGUUGAUUUAGGAUUGGAGCGAUCAAGUGUUGGAUUUAUUACACAGUUCAAGUCUCCACCAAAAAUUAACUGGUGUGAGUUUAGGUCAGGAAUCAAUGACAUUACCUUACCUAUAAAUUAUUCAUCAUCCUAAUUUGGGGCGUAGAUGUUUACCAAGACCACAGGCUUAUGAUACAGGAGCCCAGACACAAUCACAAACCGCCCUUGAGGGUCUGAAAUAAUGGUGGUUACAGCAAACUGGAUUUUUUUAUGAAAUAAUAUGACUGUUCUGCAGGUUUUAGAAGUAAGAUUAGAAUGAAAUAUAUUAUCAACCCAACUUUUUUUUAAGUCUGACUUGGUCUUUAACCAGUAAGGGAGUUUCCUGAAGAAAGGCAAUAUCACAUUUCAAAUGUUUAAGGUGAUUAAGUAUUCUAGCUCGUUUAACGGGUCCAUUUAAACCUUUUACAUUCCAAGUAAUGAAACGUACAGGAGCUCCUCCUGCAUCAGCAGCGUUCACCAUAUAAAAAAUAAAAGAGAAAAAGACCCAGAAGUGACAGCCAGGGUGCACACCUUAUUAAUUACUUUAUCAAAGCAAAAGAGCAGUCCAUGCUGCAGGAGAGUGAUGACGUCCCCUUCCCCACCCCGUUUAAACCUGAACUAAGAACUAAGCCUAUACCUGUCCUUCUCCAUGAGGCAAGCUGCAGGUUAAACACUAUUUUUCCUACGAACGUCUGGUAGCACAUUUCCUUGUGUUAUGCAUAGGGCUCCCAGCUCUAGAACAUAAGCACUAAAAUUCAGACAAUCAUUAGUGAACAACUGAAGUGUUAACUAAUUAUUUAAAGGGGGAAAAAAAACAACUAAAUAAUAAUGACAAUAAAAAAAAAGAAAUUAGAGUGACGAAUUUAAGCUACAGACAUAUAGACCACUAAUCAUGUCUUGGCAUAUGUAUAAACCUCAGAUCCUGAGGCUGAAUAUGUUUAAAAAAUAAAAAAAAACACAUAAGAACGAAAAAACAAAUGUAAUAAAAGUAAAAUAAAACACACACACACACACACACACACGCGUAUAAACUAAGGAUCCCGACGCACGACGGUGGUUACGUCAGUUAGUGGUUUUUGGCUUAAGAUAGCAUGAAAUACUCACACUUUGAGUCCAGUGUCAACAUGCUCAAAUUUCUGGCCGUAAAAUGUCUGCGCUUCGUCAGGCCAGUCGAAAGUCAGUCCGUUAUUGUUGAACAUCACUCGCAGCCGGGCCGGUAGAGCAGGUGGAAUUUGACGUUCUUCUGCUACAACGCUCGUUUGACUCCGUUAAACGCAGCUCUGGUAAACUCUGAUGGUGGCACCUUGGUAUUUCAGCUCAUGACUCCGCGCCCUUCUUUUUGCUGGAACCUAGAAAAGCAGACCAGGAACGUGCGAGGAGAUGAUCUUAGGCCGGGUUUGGAGGUCGGGGUCCGGUGUGCUCUCUCAAGCUCAGGCGGCGCGGGGGAAACUUCUGGUCCCAUCAGCUGCAUCAGCACAUCCGACAUGAACUUCACGGGGUCUUUGCCGUUUCCGCUGCCUUCGGGGAUGUUCAGAAUGCAGAGAUUAGAUCUCCGUGAGCGGUUUUCCAGGUCGUCACAUCGAUCCAAAAGCUCCUGGUUGUGAUUCUGGAGCAUUCUGAUGGCAGAUUCCGCAAUGGUGAGCCGCUCAAAGUUAUCGCCAGCAACCCCCUCCACGGAGGCCUCGCGGGCUGGUGUCCUACACGUUUUACAACCAACCUACAAUUGAAGCUCCUUAUAGGCUAAACAGACCUGAUCCAGGUAAUCAGCAGCAAAUAAGCAGCAGUCACUGACUGCAAGUUGGAACGAUUUCGGCGCCUUUCAGCGAAAAUAUGACCCCCGCCACGUCUCGAAAAGUCACCAAAGUGUUAACACACCUCAGAUAAAUUGAAAAUGAAGUUUCCACAAAGUCAC
Molecule: non-coding RNA, 3093 nt
Organism: Oryzias latipes (Japanese medaka)
Lineage: Eukaryota; Metazoa; Chordata; Actinopteri; Beloniformes; Adrianichthyidae
Source: RefSeq, a predicted model, not a curated record